AUUGAACGCUGGCGGCAGGCCUAACACAUGCGAGUCGAGCGGAUGAAGGGAGCUUGCUCCUGGAUUCAGCGGCGGACGGGUGAGUAAUGCCUAGGAAUCUGCCUGGUAGUGGGGGAUAACGUCCGGAAACGGGCGCUAAUACCGCAUACGUCCUGAGGGAGAAAGUGGGGGAUCUUCGGACCUCACGCUAUCAGAUGAGCCUAGGUCGGAGUAGCUAGUUGGUGGGGUAAAGGCCUACCAAGGCGACGAUCCGUAACUGGUCUGAGAGGAUGAUCAGUCACACUGGAACUGAGACACGGUCCAGACUCCUACGGGAGGCAGCAGUGGGGAAUAUUGGACAAUGGGCGAAAGCCUGAUCCAGCCAUGCCGCGUGUGUGAAGAAGGUCUUCGGAUUGUAAAGCACUUUAAGUUGGGAGGAAGGGCAGUAAGUUAAUACCUUGCUGUUUUGACGUUACCAACAGAAUAAGCACCGGCUAACUUCGUG
RNAcentral lists this ribosomal RNA (484 nucleotides) under uncultured bacterium. RNAcentral's name for it is "partial 16S ribosomal RNA". It matches the Rfam family "Bacterial small subunit ribosomal RNA", at positions 30 to 507 of the family's 1533-position model. The record is from RNAcentral.